This is a long non-coding RNA of Grus americana (Whooping crane), 2570 nucleotides long. RefSeq lists it as uncharacterized. The record is from RefSeq and is a predicted model, not a curated record. The transcript has 3 exons. NCBI's taxonomy places the organism in Eukaryota, Metazoa, Chordata, Aves, Gruiformes, Gruidae.
GGCUGGAGCCGGCAGUGCCGGGCCUGGGGCAGCCCCCGCCUCUCCUCACAGAGACUGCAGAUCCCUGCCCACACCUGCUGCCGGUACAAAAGGGAAACAAAUACAGUAAAAUUUCACUAAAGGCAAAGUACAAUCCAGCGCACUUGGCUUAAAUGUCCUUGAGCAUUUGGAGAACUGAAAUGAAGAAGUCAGACAGUUGGCUAAAUCAGACAGGAAAAAGUCUUAUUUUGCAGAUCACAGUGAAAUAAACAGUUAAAUGGUGUGUCAGAGGCUAUGCAACAGGAGGCUGAUGCUGAUAUUCUGGAACCUCUCCUCAUAAGCAGUCCAGUUGACCUUGUUAACAGCAUGUAAAUAUACAGUUCUAAGAUGUUAAUUGGCAAGGAUGCUAUUAGCAUCAUGUUGUCUUGAAUAACUGCAGACAUUUUAAAUAAGAGAAGUGACAUCUAAAUCCAUAGGUGUUUUAAUCAGGAAGUUGCGUAGUAGUCCAAACAUGUUGUUAUCUAAAUGGCUAUAGAGACGAUUGAUUACAAAAAUAACAAAUAUCAGAUGAUUUGCAUACACUUUGCUAAUCUGAAAAAGUGUGGAAUAAAAAAUUUGCCUGUGGUCAUUCUGUAAUUCAGUGGUUUAUAUGAAAAUGACCUCAUUCAAUAGGUUAUGUUUGCACAAAUACUCUGUGGUACAAAUUGCAAGGCACAAAUACAAGCAAACUAAAAUCUUCAAAGUACUGUAGAACUUAAGAGGUGGGUUGUUUUUUUUCUCCAAAUGUUUUUAAAAUACUUUUGCUGUUAGUGCAACAAGCCAUUGGUUUGGGCUUGUUUAUUUUUUUCUCUGUAGUCUUUUUUCAUUCAGGUUUGCAAUGAAUCUGCUGCUUGCUUUUGGAUGGCACACAGUGAUAGCAAAUUCAUUCCAACCACUCUCAAGCCAUGUAAGAAUAGCCACACGGAACAUAAAAGCAGUGUGCCUCUCAGUGCUUUGCUUUUUAUUGCUAAUGGAGAGCAUUCAAUAUAUAAUAAACUAUUUAUAGUGUUUUGCAUGUGUCCUUGACACAGCACUUCUGAUACAGGAAUUGUUAAAAUGAACAGCAUCAUGUAUGUAUACAAAUCAAAUCUUUGUCACAGAGGUUGAAGCUACACCAAUAAAAUGAAUGAUGGAAAAUGAACAGGAAUAGUGAUGUUACUUGACCAUCCACCUUCUGAUUUGAAGUGCCAAGUGUCCAGAAAAUAAUCAAAUGAAUUUUUAACUUGCCAACUGCAAAAUUUAUUCUUUUAUUGUCUGGAGAAUUUGCUGCCAUGUGGUCUAUUUUGGGGAAUGAUGUAAAAUCCUGAGGGAAAUCUAAACCAUAUACCACAUGAGCAUGCAUGCAAUCAAAUGGAAUACAGUAUGUCAGUUUUUAAGCACUUCUUGUGAUUUCAUUACGUAUGACAGAACCUGUUUAUUAGUCUUGAAGACUCAACUGAUACAUCCACGGAACAUAAGAAUUUCUCCAUUUUGCUUCAAAAACUGUUUCACUCCUGUUUUGUACUUGACAGCAACGAGAAUGAAAGGACUGAAUAUCUCUUUCUAUGUAGUACUUGAUUUCUGUGCUAAGAUUGCAAAAAGAUACUAUCUAGUACAGAUUUUAAUAAUGAUCUUUGUGCUGGCAAUGUCUGCCCAUUAGAAAAUAGGAUGAAAUGAUCUACUGUUGGACAAGCUAACAGUUGUCAAAUAGUAAUGAUUUGCCAUCUGCAUUUAAGGAUGAGUUUGAUGGUAAGCUACUGGUGGAAAGCUAUACACCCUUUUAUAAAUCUCCUGAGCCAUCUGUUUAUUUUAGUGUGUAACUUGUUUGUAUGCACAGUGAAAAUGUCUGAUGUUAUGAGGUAUGACUAGCUCACAGUACCUUCUUUAACAUACGUUUACCUUGUAAGCAACAUAAUUGGAAUAAUACUGCAUGGAGAUAGUGAGAAUAUAUAUAUUUUCCAGAGCUGUACUAAUGAGAAUUAUCUUGCUGAAUCCUAUGUAGCUGUGGAAAUUUAGAGAAUUAUCUAUGCCCUAGUCAGGGGCUGUAGUUUCUUCCUUAAUAAUAUCUUUGCAAUUAUGUUGCCUACAAAGUAACCCAAAACUUAACUAAACAAACCCCCUCUUCUACCUGUGAGUUAGUUAUAGCCCAUGUAAUAUGUAAUCUAUUCAUGCUAUUACUUACAAACUAAUGACGAGGUUGUAAGGAGGCUUUGCUUUCAGAAGGUCACUUUUUAUGCUUGCGUAAACCCUGACAAGCUACGUUUCUCAUGUCUGUUUUAAUAUGAAUGAAUGAGCCAUUUACUGGUUUCUUUCCUAGAGGUGAAUUUUCAUUUCCUAAGCUCUGAAUGAGGCUGUUGUGAUCAAUGUUCUCGUUACCCAAUUUUUUCUAUCUAUCUAUUCCAUGUAUCUCCUCCUGGAAAAUCUCCCCAGAAUUUUACCAACCUUGUCUGUGCUUGAAACUCUACUUGUCCAGUUUAUUUGCUGCCAAGAUAACCAGGGAGACUUGCUUGUUUCAAAAUACAGUUAUGGUCGAUAAACAGCAAAGAUUCCCAUUGCAUAUCCUAGAAAACAAU